CCCCCUCCCCCCCAAGGAUUCCUCGGAAAAUUUUAGGGGGCCAGAAAGUAGCUCCCUUUGACCUAAGAAUAUCCCCCAAGCUUCAAAUCUUUGCCUCAAUUAGGUAAAAAUUUAGAGGGGAUGGAAAUGACUUAUGGAUCACCCUGUAUAUCGCACGAAUUUCGCCAUAUAUACUGUGAAGUCGAUUUCUUAUAUAUUGACACAUUUCUUAUAUAUUGCACGAUUUUUGCCAUAGGUAGUUUGGAGUCGAUUUCCUAAAUAUUGACACAUUUCUUAUAAAUUGCGACAGUUUCGUAUAUAUAUUUCAAAAUUUCAUAUAUAUUUUGAAUAUUUCAUAUGUUACAUCAUUUCUUAUGUAUUGCUAACAUUCGUAUCUUUAGUUACAAACGGCCCUUCAUAGACGAGAUGGUUCUACGCCUAGAGACGUUUUUUCACUCCACUCAAUCGAUACAUCGAAAGCAGCGGAGCCCCGCGGAAGAUCGCCGUGAAAGAAUCGAUUCUUCGAUCCUAUCGAUCUUUUGGAAGAUCGAUCCAAUAAUCGCCAUCACUACUAGCUCAAGAACUAUUGAAAAGGAUUUGGGAUAUCUUCAUCUUCAUUAUCUUCAAGACGGCAACGUUCAUUACUUCCUAUAUGGCUGCUGUAACCGAAGUAUUUCACCAAUUCGAGACGAUGAUUUAACCCCAGGGUCAACGAAAA
Bemisia tabaci is the source of this 697-nucleotide non-coding RNA. NCBI's taxonomy places the organism in Eukaryota, Metazoa, Arthropoda, Insecta, Hemiptera, Aleyrodidae. The record is from RefSeq and is a predicted model, not a curated record.